UGUGUAGGCGGAACAUUAAGUCAGUGGUGAAAUCUUUCAGCUUAACUGGAAAACUGCCAUUGAUACUGCUGUUCUUGAGUUCAGUUGAGGUGGGCGGAAUGUGUAAUGUAGCGGUGAAAUGCUUAGUUAUUACACAGAACACCGAUUGCGAAGGCAGCUCACUAAACUGUUACUGACGCUGAGGCACGAAAGCGUGGGGAGCGAACAGGAUUAGAUACCCUGGUAGUCC
RNAcentral lists this ribosomal RNA (229 nucleotides) under uncultured bacterium. RNAcentral's name for it is "partial 16S ribosomal RNA". It matches the Rfam family "Bacterial small subunit ribosomal RNA", at positions 568 to 796 of the family's 1533-position model. The record is from RNAcentral.